GUUCCCUCCUCUGCAGACCCGGGAAACAUGCCUGUUGCGUCGCGCAGUGGGAGCAUUCGGCUCGCAUCCAACUGUCGGCUCGUAUAGUGUGAGGACAAUACACUCUCGACAAAUUUCCAAAUGUGGAACUCUCAGUUCUGAGAGGAGCAGUCCGAAACAAGCUGAAUUAUGUCAGCAAACUAUUUAAGAAAACGCAAGCUGAAGCUGAAUCUGUUGGACCCUCUCGAUCCGUUGGACCCAUACCUCCGGUGGAGUGAAUGCUGAAUAUUGGGAA
Long non-coding RNA from Engraulis encrasicolus (European anchovy), 274 nucleotides. RefSeq lists it as uncharacterized. The transcript is spliced from 3 exons. Lineage: Eukaryota; Metazoa; Chordata; Actinopteri; Clupeiformes; Engraulidae. The record is from RefSeq and is a predicted model, not a curated record.